This is a long non-coding RNA of Eriocheir sinensis (Chinese mitten crab), 462 nucleotides long. RefSeq lists it as uncharacterized. NCBI's taxonomy places the organism in Eukaryota, Metazoa, Arthropoda, Malacostraca, Decapoda, Varunidae. The transcript is spliced from 2 exons. The record is from RefSeq and is a predicted model, not a curated record.
UAACCCAUCCGCUGCGAUUGGCAUGGAUUUCGCCUUCACUGGUAGCCUGGUAACAUACACUCCCAGGUCUUUCUCUGCCUCUGUGGUGGAUAGUGGAGUGUUUCCCAUGUGGUAUUGGUGUGCUGGAUAUCCCUUCACUGGUAGCCUGGUAACAUACACUCCCAGGUCUUUCUCUGCCUCUGUGGUGGAUAGUGGAGUGUUUCUCAUGUGGUAUUGGUAUGCUGGAUAUCCCUUCACUGGUAGCCUGGUAACAUACACUCCCAGGUCUUUCUCUGCCUCUGUGGUGGAUAGUGGAGUGUUUCCCAUGAGGUAUUGGUGUGCUGGAUAUCCCUUCACUGGUAGCCUGGUAACAUACACUCCCAGGUCUUUCUCUGCCUCUGUGGUGGAUAGUGGAGUGUUUCCCAUGUGGUAUUGGUGUGCUGGAUAUCCCUUCACUGGUAGCCUGGUAACAUACACUCCCAG